This 492-nucleotide ribosomal RNA is filed under the name uncultured bacterium. RNAcentral describes it as "partial 16S ribosomal RNA". It matches the Rfam family "Bacterial small subunit ribosomal RNA", at positions 29 to 507 of the family's 1533-position model. The record is from RNAcentral.
AGUGAACGCUGGCGGUAGGCCUAACACAUGCAAGUCGAACGGCAGCACAGUAAGAGCUUGCUCUUACGGGUGGCGAGUGGCGGACGGGUGAGGAAUACAUCGGAAUCUACUUUUUCGUGGGGGAUAACGUAGGGAAACUUACGCUAAUACCGCAUACGACCUACGGGUGAAAGCAGGGGAUCUUCGGACCUUGCGCGAUUGAAUGAGCCGAUGUCGGAUUAGCUAGUUGGCGGGGUAAAGGCCCACCAAGGCGACGAUCCGUAGCUGGUCUGAGAGGAUGAUCAGCCACACUGGAACUGAGACACGGUCCAGACUCCUACGGGAGGCAGCAGUGGGGAAUAUUGGGCAAUGGGCGCAAGCCUGAUCCAGCCAUACCGCGUGGGUGAAGAAGGCCUUCGGGUUGUAAAACCCUUUUGUUGGGGAAGAAAAGCAGCAGGUUAAUACCCCGCUGUUCUGACGGUACCCAAAGAAUAAGCACCGGCUAACUUCGUG